Spinacia oleracea (spinach) is the source of this 740-nucleotide long non-coding RNA. RefSeq lists it as uncharacterized. NCBI's taxonomy places the organism in Eukaryota, Viridiplantae, Streptophyta, Magnoliopsida, Caryophyllales, Amaranthaceae. The record is from RefSeq and is a predicted model, not a curated record. The transcript has 4 exons.
CUCUCUAAAAAUACUGUUCACUGUCUUUCUGAAAUUCAACCUGCUUCCUUUCUCCCUCAGAAUUUUCUCGCUCCUCAAAAAAACUGCCAUUAAAGCUUCAAAAAACGACGAUGAAGCUUCAAAUCACUCGAUUUAGUUAUUAGUUCUUGCCGAAUUCUUUUUAUAUUUCGUCUUUUCUUCUACAAAUUUGGCCUACUUUAACCUAACUUUCUGUAUUUGUUUAAGAUUGGAGAUGAAGGAAGCAGAAAAUCCAAAAAAAUAAAUCGAAAAAACCUACAAUCGAAGAAGGAAAAAUAUGAAAAGAGAAGAUGAAAUUGUGAAAAAAAAAACAGAAGAAAAACACAGCUCAAAUUCAGAAGAUCGAAAAGAAUCAGAAAAUUCGAAUGUCGGAAAUGAGAUGACGCCCAAACAUCAGAGCCACAACGCACAAGUAAUCCUAUUGUCAAACAAGCACUUGUGAAGGACGUCCCUGUAAACGUUUGUUUGAGCAAAUGAAGAGAUCCAAGGUUGAGUAUUGUGGCAUGAUAUUAGCGCACAAGGGAAAUGAUGAAAAUCAUGUUAUGAUUUCAAAGCCAACGAAAUGGGAAAUAGAGAAUCAAAUUUGAAGUUAUCAUAGUCCUUGUAGCAUCAAAUGUUGAAUUUCAUGUAAAUACUUUGUGUUUAAUUUCUAGAAUUUGUAAACUGACAAUUUCGAUCUCGGAUGGUUUUGAUUAACUUAUAAUAGAUUUAUUUGCUUGAAG